Molecule: ribosomal RNA, 216 nt
Filed under: uncultured bacterium
Lineage: Bacteria
Description: partial 16S ribosomal RNA
Rfam family: Bacterial small subunit ribosomal RNA
Source: RNAcentral
AAGAACUUGUCCAUCGGCGGGGGAUAGCCGGCCCAACGGCCGGGUAAUACCGCGUACGCCGUCUGAAGCGCAUGCUUCGGCCGGGAAAGCAGCAAUGCACCGAUGGAGAGCUUCGCGGCCUAUCAGCUAAUUGGCGGGGUAAUGGCCCACCAAGGCGACGACGGGUAGCUGGUCUGAGAGGAUGAUCAGCCACACUGGGACUGAGACACGGCCCAG